RNAcentral lists this ribosomal RNA (271 nucleotides) under uncultured prokaryote. RNAcentral's name for it is "partial 16S ribosomal RNA". It matches the Rfam family "Bacterial small subunit ribosomal RNA", at positions 524 to 794 of the family's 1533-position model. The record is from RNAcentral.
UACGUAGGUGGCGAGCGUUGUCCGGAUUUACUGGGCGUAAAGGGAGCGUAGGCGGACUUUUAAGUGAGAUGUGAAAUACCCGGGCUCAACUUGGGUGCUGCAUUUCAAACUGGAAGUCUAGAGUGCAGGAGAGGAGAGUAGAAUUCCUAGUGUAGCGGUGAAAUGCGUAGAUAUUAGGAGGAAUACCAGUUGCGAAGGCGGCUCUCUGGACUGUAACUGACACUGAGGCACGAAAGCGUGGGGAGCAAACAGGAUUAGAUACCCCGGUAGU